Molecule: ribosomal RNA, 1529 nt
Filed under: Escherichia coli
Lineage: Bacteria; Pseudomonadati; Pseudomonadota; Gammaproteobacteria; Enterobacterales; Enterobacteriaceae
Description: bacterial SSU rRNA
Rfam family: Bacterial small subunit ribosomal RNA
Source: RNAcentral
AGAGUUUGAUCAUGGCUCAGAUUGAACGCUGGCGGCAGGCCUAACACAUGCAAGUCGAACGGUAACAGGAAACAGCUUGCUGUUUCGCUGACGAGUGGCGGACGGGUGAGUAAUGUCUGGGAAACUGCCUGAUGGAGGGGGAUAACUACUGGAAACGGUAGCUAAUACCGCAUAACGUCGCAAGACCAAAGAGGGGGACCUUAGGGCCUCUUGCCAUCGGAUGUGCCCAGAUGGGAUUAGCUAGUAGGUGGGGUAAAGGCUCACCUAGGCGACGAUCCCUAGCUGGUCUGAGAGGAUGACCAGCCACACUGGAACUGAGACACGGUCCAGACUCCUACGGGAGGCAGCAGUGGGGAAUAUUGCACAAUGGGCGCAAGCCUGAUGCAGCCAUGCCGCGUGUAUGAAGAAGGCCUUCGGGUUGUAAAGUACUUUCAGCGGGGAGGAAGGGAGUAAAGUUAAUACCUUUGCUCAUUGACGUUACCCGCAGAAGAAGCACCGGCUAACUCCGUGCCAGCAGCCGCGGUAAUACGGAGGGUGCAAGCGUUAAUCGGAAUUACUGGGCGUAAAGCGCACGCAGGCGGUUUGUUAAGUCAGAUGUGAAAUCCCCGGGCUCAACCUGGGAACUGCAUCUGAUACUGGCAAGCUUGAGUCUCGUAGAGGGGGGUAGAAUUCCAGGUGUAGCGGUGAAAUGCGUAGAGAUCUGGAGGAAUACCGGUGGCGAAGGCGGCCCCCUGGACGAAGACUGACGCUCAGGUGCGAAAGCGUGGGAGCAAACAGGAUUAGAUACCCUGGUAGUCCACGCCGUAAACGAUGUCGACUUGGAGGUUGUGCCCUUGAGGCGUGGCUUCCGGAGCUAACGCGUUAAGUCGACCGCCUGGGGAGUACGGCCGCAAGGUUAAAACUCAAAUGAAUUGACGGGGGCCCGCACAAGCGGUGGAGCAUGUGGUUUAAUUCGAUGCAACGCGAAGAACCUUACCUGGUCUUGACAUCCACGGAAGUUUUCAGAGAUGAGAAUGUGCCUUCGGGAACCGUGAGACAGGUGCUGCAUGGCUGUCGUCAGCUCGUGUUGUGAAAUGUUGGGUUAAGUCCCGCAACGAGCGCAACCCUUAUCCUUUGUUGCCAGCGGUCCGGCCGGGAACUCAAAGGAGACUGCCAGUGAUAAACUGGAGGAAGGUGGGGAUGACGUCAAGUCAUCAUGGCCCUUACGACCAGGGCUACACACGUGCUACAAUGGCGCAUACAAAGAGAAGCGACCUCGCGAGAGCAAGCGGACCUCAUAAAGUGCGUCGUAGUCCGGAUUGGAGUCUGCAACUCGACUCCAUGAAGUCGGAAUCGCUAGUAAUCGUGGAUCAGAAUGCCACGGUGAAUACGUUCCCGGGCCUUGUACACACCGCCCGUCACACCAUGGGAGUGGGUUGCAAAAGAAGUAGGUAGCUUAACCUUCGGGAGGGCGCUUACCACUUUGUGAUUCAUGACUGGGGUGAAGUCGUAACAAGGUAACCGUAGGGGAACCUGCGGUUGGAUCACCU